Long non-coding RNA from Erigeron canadensis, 807 nucleotides. RefSeq lists it as uncharacterized. NCBI's taxonomy places the organism in Eukaryota, Viridiplantae, Streptophyta, Magnoliopsida, Asterales, Asteraceae. The record is from RefSeq and is a predicted model, not a curated record. The transcript is spliced from 3 exons.
GGAACCAAUUUUUUGUAGCAGUCAUUUAUGCCUAUUGUAAGCUGUUUUCACUAAGAUCUAUCUCGUCACAACAGCAUUCAUUGGGCAUUCCACAGAAGAUGACCCAUGCAAAUCCAGAGACCGUUCUCCCUGCCAUCCAUCAAAUGCUUAUUAUCGAGAUAGAUUAAUUGGGCUUUACUCCUAUUCCAUAGUUUUCCAACUAACUUAAUUUUCGAUAAUCCUGCCAUACUACAUCUGUUCAUAGAUCCAGUUUGCUUGAGUUUGUUAUGCCUGCUACAUUAUUGAGAGAUUAUUGUUGGAAUCUGAAGUUCUGUAUUUGUAUUCGCAGAUGACGUGGAGGAAUGUGGCUGUCAUCCCCAGUUCUUUAAUAAAGGGCCAGCUCCAGUCAUGCAUCACUUCAGUGCUAAAGAGUAAACAUGUAAUACUGCUUUUCAAGAGACAUUUGUAUAUUGUGAUUCCAUCGACUAAUGAAAACUUUGCUUUGACGUGGAGUUGGCGUACAUCUCUUAAGUGAAGAUUGGCAGCAUACUUUUUGGGUUCAAAAGUUAAAUUAUUCCUAGUUCUUACUUUUGUUGUUUUACUUCAUUCUUAUGGUUGUAAUUAUCCUUUGUACGGAAGUAUUAAUAACAUCAAGUUUAUUCGAUUCUGAAUAACCACAAAGAUGGUGGAAAGAACUCUAUAAUGAUGGUUUUUGAAUGACUUUUGCCUGGAUUUAGCUACUAAUAUACAUGGUAAUUAUUAGGUGUUGUUGUAUAAUUGUCUGAUAAUGUACAUGGUGUUGUAUAAUGGUGGAAAGAAUUCUAUAAU